RNA transcript from Hemicordylus capensis (graceful crag lizard), 6736 nucleotides. RefSeq lists it as uncharacterized. The record is from RefSeq and is a predicted model, not a curated record. NCBI's taxonomy places the organism in Eukaryota, Metazoa, Chordata, Lepidosauria, Squamata, Cordylidae. The transcript has 4 exons.
UGCCUUCUCUGCUGCUGCCCCCCCCCCCCGGGGCUUUGGGAUGCGCAGCUCCCUGUUGAAAGAAGAGCCUCCCCUCUCUGGCAUCUUUCAAAAAGGCACGGGAGACAUUUGCUUUAUUAGAUUUAUACUGUUAAUACUUUCAAUAUUGGGCUUAAAAUUAUUUUAAUGUUUUAAUCAUUUCAGUUUUGUUUAAUUUGUAAUGUUUUUACUGUACACUGCCCAGAAACACAGGUUUUGGUUGGUAUAUAAAUGUUAAAUAAAUAAAAGUCACAGAAUCAAAACAUGCACAUUUUCCACAUGCAGGAAGCCUUAAGGUGCACCUCCUUAGAGGGCAGCAAGUUUUGUUUCUGCAUUUCGGCGCGGGGGGGGGGGAGAGGCCGGCAGCUGCCCAGUCCCAAACCCUCCAUGCUUCGCUCCCUGCUGUUGAUGAAGAGCAGAGCCAAGUGGGACCUUCACGAGAUGGGGGAGCGCUUGACCGGCGGAACUCCUUGCCAGGAGAGCACCAACUAGCAGCAGCAGCAGAGCGGCCCAAGGGGCGGGCAAAGCUGCUGGGGGCGGUUGUGGGGUGGAGUCGCCCUUUGCAAAGCCCCCAAAGCGUCCCAGGAAAAGCCUCCUCCGUCUGCCGCUUGCUGCGCAUGCUCAGCAGCCAGAGUCCAGGAGACUCCUCCUCCUGCAGCCCAGACUAGGCAAAACCUGGCCAGGCAUCCAUGCUGCACGUGGGGACCCUCCUCCUGGGAACGGGUCCUGUUUCCUCCCAAGCUGCACGGAAUGGGGGACACACACACACACACCGGGGGCCCCUUGCAGUUCUCCCAGGCUCGGGCCGCCCUUCAGCCGUGCAAAGUCUCUUAGCCCCGAGAUCGGGGACUGCUUUGGCCAGCGGAGGAGGAGGAGGAGGAGGAGGAGGGAAGGGCUGGAGAGGAGCCCGCCUGCCAGAGGGAGCCGCAGGAGCCAGCUGGCCCUCCAGACAGCCAAUGGCUCCUUGCAGGCUGAGGGAUACAGGGGCACGCGCACGCGCCGCGGUAAGAGAUUCAAUCGGGGGAGGGGGAACCCGCUCUGGGAGCAGCCCCCGCCUGCCUGCCUGCUUGCCUGCAGAGGGUCCCACGUCCCCUCCCUGGCAGCAGCAUCGCCAAGACAGCGCUGGGAGAGACUCCUGCCUGCAGGGCAGCCUUGGAGAAGCCGCUGCUGCCCGUCUGGGUAGACGGCGCUGAGCUAGGUGGAGCAAGGGGCUGACUCGGUCGUCUACGGCAGCUGCCUCUGCUCUUAAAGAUCCCUGCCCCGCACUCGCGAGGGGGUCCAGGCCAGUCCCAGAGGACUGGCAGCCCGAGCUGGCAGCAGCCAAAGAUCCUUGCCCCCCCCCCCCAGAUUGCGACAUGCUGCUGCCAGCUGAGUAUAGACAAUACGCAGCGAAGCGGACCAAGGGCCUGACUCGGCAGAAGGAACGUGCCUGCCAUUGCUCGACUUUAAAAAAAGAACCACAACAAAAAAAGCCUCAGGAGAAUGUGCAGCCCUUUAUAGAAUAACUGGAGCAGAGUGCAAAGCACGAUACAGAGAAGGAGAGACCAUUUUUUUAAAAAAUCACACUCUUUCCCUUUGCACCCGCCCCCCACUUGGUGCCUUCAUUCCUGGGGGCUCCCAUCUGCAGUGGGGUGGGGGGGAGUUCGGAAGCUGCCAGGCUAUCCAAAACGGCACGGAGGCUUCAGGGCGGGCCACUGGGCAUGCGCAGCCGGCGCUGCAGACAUGCGCAGAGGGCGCAGAGCCGCAAAGCCUCGGCGGGGGAAUUCUGGCGGGCUUUCUGCGCUCCUCCCCGCGCGCCCCUGGGAGCCGAAUCCACUCCUCUGAUUGGUUGGCGGGGUGACAGGCGCAUCACUGAUUGGCGAGCAGCUGGACAGCGGGCUCCGCCUCGAGCGCGCCACGUUUGAUGGAGAAAUAAUUUGAGACACCUGAGGCGGCAAAGGAGGACGAAGAGCAGGGCCGAGAAGGAGAGGUUCUCCUCAGGGAACUAGGGGGCUUCACGCCCCACAUUGCAGCAGGAGGGCCAGGGCCGAGAAGGAGAGGUUCUCCUCAGGGAACUAGGGGGCUUCACGCCCCACAUUGCAGCAGGAGGGCCAGGGCCGAGAAGGAGAGGUUCUCCUCAGGGAACUAGGGGGCUUCACGCCCCACAUUGCAGCAGGAGGGCCAGGGCCGAGAAGGAGAGGUUCUCCUCAGGGAACUAGGGGGCUUCACGCCCCACAUUGCAGCAGGAGGGCCAGGGCCGGGGAGGAGAGGUUCUCCUCAGGGAAUUAGGGGGCUUCACGCCCCACAUUGCCCCUACUCGGCUGCUGAGGAAGGCCAACCACAAGCCUCUAAGGGGCAGAGAAAUGCUCUGAGGGAAGGCUGUCUCCCAGACAGGGCAAGGAAGGGCUCUAUGCCCAGCAGUGGCUUUUGCCUUAGCAUUUAUUGAGAAUAAUUCAUAAAUAGGCAUGGAGAAAAAGCUGUCUCUAAGCUUGCUUCUAAUCCUCUGGGGGAAGGGCUGUGUGCCCACCUUUAGCUCACAGGCAAAAAUUCUCUGAGGGGAGGCUCUCUCCAGGACAGAGCAAGGAAGGGCUCCAUGCCCAGCCUUGGCUUUUGCUUCACCAAAAUAAUGAUAAUAAAUUUCUGUUGCUUCAGAAAAAGGAGGAGGAAACCACUCAAGCCAUGCUACUCAGCCAGGCUAGGGCUUUUUAAAAGAAUGCUUUGUGGGAGAGUGGUGGGAUUAUGGUCUUCAAGACCCCUGCCAAAAACCAGUUUCUGAGGGGAAGUGAAGUUUCUGAGUGGGGAGUUCAUCUCCCUGCUUUGGCUUCAUCUUGUGCAAUAAAUAAAUAAAUAAAUCUGAGGGGAAAGGAAGUUUCUGAGUGGGGAGUUCAUCUCUCUGCUUUGGCUUCAUCUUGCCAAAAGAACUCAAACCCCUUCUGUGGAUGCUGCAGCCGUGCUGACGUGUGCAAAAGCCCUGCCACCUCACUGCCCACAUUUGUAGCAUUUGUCUGCAGAGGGCAACACGCCACAGAUUCUCCCCGUCCUCAGAACACUGGGGCGCCACAGUCUUCUGCAUCACGGUGAAAACCUGUCCACUCUUAGCGCGUUCUUGCUCUGUGCAGACAAAUGCUAGAACUAUGGACCGCGUAGGGCAGGACUUCUGAGCGCAACGGCACAGGGGCUGUAGCAGGAAAUUCCCUGAGGCCAGGGGCUGCUGUGCAACUACAGACUGGCCCUUUUAGUCUGAGAAAACUGGGUGCGACCUGAGGCUCCUUUAUUCUCCCAACAGCUGUGUAUGGCAGCAUAAUUCCUAAGAGAGUGGCUGGCUUGAAUGGAACACCCUCCCUGCGCAUUAAAAGGCUUAGGCUUCUAGAUACUCAGAACACUUUUCUGAGGCAGCAUAAGCUCUAAUUUUCAGGCAGGCUUGUAUGGAACAUGCUUCAGGCUUCUUAAUUCUCUCAAGAGAAGAGAGGAUUCUCUUUAUAGUCUCUCAAAUUCUUUUUAAUGAGUUAUAUCUUUCAUAUUUGUGAAUGGCAUAGAGCUAUCUGGAUGAGGGGUAUAGACACUUAAUGAAAGAAUGAUUAAAUAAAACAGCUGUGGGAGUCAACAUAAUCUCAAAAAUGGGGGCUGGCUUGUAUGCAUAAUAGAAGCACCAGGAUGCUUUAUAACUGCCAACUUUAUAGGGAAGGAUAAUCUCAAAUUUAGAACCUAUCUUUAACUGAAAAUUUUUCAUGUGUGUUCUCUCCCCACAACAUCGCUUGGAGGACAAUUUAGCAAAAAGAAACGGAGUUGGUGCAUGUGUCCCUAUGACCCACAGACCGGAGUGCUGCUCUUGGAGCAUUUGUUCCUCUCCAGAGGCCAACGUGGCAGCCUUGUCAAGCUGGAUAUCCUCUAAGAUGGAGACUGCCUUUAACAGGACACACUUCAUGUGUGCUGCAUGCUCAGCAGCCCUUUGUGCCAUGUUUGGAAAGAAGAAACAGAGUUGGCACACAUUUGCAAUGACCUCCAUGCCGGAGUGGGGAUUUUGGAAUGUUUUUUCCUCCCAAGAGGCCUGUGUGGGAGGCAGGAUCAAAGACGGGCUGAACCAAGUGGGAUUCAAGAAAGAGCACAAGGAAUGAGGAGGACACAGAGGACAAGACAAGCUGACCGGAUCAAUCUUGUGACGAGGAGGCGCAUUGUCCGAGAAUUGAACAGAUUUCAUGAAAGAGCUGAAGGAGCGAGGACAAGACAAGCUGUCUCAAUCUCUUUCGUGAUGAGGCUUCAUCAGAGAACUGAAGAACAUAUACAAAAUAUAAAGAUGUAUACAAAUACUGAGCAUACUUAUUUAUUACAUACCGAUUGUCACAGGAGAAUAGAAAAAUGAAACUCUGAAAAUGUAUUACUCAGGAAAUCUAAGGUGUCAUCCUUCAUAAAUGCCUCAUACUCUAACAUCAUGUGGAUUUGCUCACACUUCAAAUAAAUUAUGUAACUUGUUCUUUCCCGAAGGAUUUCAAAAACAGACCAGUGGAGGCGACAAGAGACAAGCCACGCCAAGCAAAACUGCAUUACCCUUUUAGGGUUUUUUUUCAGAUUGGUCUCAAAACGAGUGGCUGGCUGCUGCAAAUAGAGGCUUCAAGCGAGAGUUGAUUUUGUCCUUGACCCUGUGAGGUAAGUUAGCCUGGAAUAAUAUGUGCUGGCUUCAAGGGUUCAUGCCUAAAAAAUAAGAAUACAUUUGUUUAAAUUGUUUGUAUCCUGUCUAUUCAAGAGCCUUAAACAACCAUCUCUUCAGCCUGGCUUUUAAUGAUAUCUUGUUUUAAUCUUAAUUUUAAUUAGAUUUAAUCUGUUUUAAAUGUUUCUUGAUUUUAAUUGUUUUAUUUUGUGUUUUUUUAUUUUAAUGUAAACCAGCCUGAGCCAAUGAAUGAAUGAAUGAAUGAAUGAAUGAAUGAAAUAAUAAAUAUUCAACAAAAUGCUAUUCAGGGCUGCUUGCCCUCUCUUAAAUGAAAACAACAACCACCCCCUACUAAAUGCAAAACAACAACAAAACCCACUAUUAAAUGCAAGCUCCCACACUACUAAAUUAAAAAAAAACACUACUAAAUGCAACAACCCCCCGCAAAGCCCACUACUAAAUGGGAAAAAACCCCACCACUAAAUGCACACACUCCACUAAUAAAUGCAAAAAAAAAAAUUCACUACUAAAUGCAAUAAAACAGAAGAUAAAAUAGACAAGAAAAAAGAGCAUUCACAACUAAAAACUGAGUAUUCUAAACAGGAGUUAAAAAAACAACCACCAUUGGCUCUGUUCACCAGCCAUUCUCAUUGAACUCUGUUGGUACAUUACUCGUCAGGUUUUUUCACCCGUCAGGCAUCCUUUUUCACUUGACACAGAUGGGUAGACUAGUGGAUUUUCUGAGCCCUGAUUCUAAACUUGGAUUGGAGAAAAAUGGAAUUUUUUCUUGGUGCAGAUCUCCUGACCUAGCUGCUUUGCGUGAGUAUUUGUUCAGUGAAUCUGAAAAAACUAUUAUUGUGAUGUUUGAAACUAACAUUUAACACAUUUGUUAAAGAUUUGUGGUAAUGUUUUAUUUUGAAACAUGAAUUAUUUGAAAUGAUGAAAGAAUGUUAAUAUGCCUAUAUAUUCUCUUUUUACCCAGCAGGUUGACUUGUAUACAGUGCCACGUGGAUGGUGCAUAAAUCCCUGCCAAGGAGGAUAUUGCAAGAAAUCGGAAAUGUAUAAAAGUGGCUACUGUCAGAGGGGUAUAUAUUAACCUAUGUCUAGAUAUGCUUUUGAUUUUCUUUUCCCCUAGCAAUCAAUCAAUGUAUCUAUAGACCAGAAAAAUUUCCCCUAGCAGACUGAUUUACAUAGACGGCCAUGUGGAUUGUGGGUAAAUCCCUACUUAGGAGGUUAUUUGAAGAAAUCCAAAGUGUAUAAAAGUGGCUGAUAUCAAAGAGGUAUGUAUCAACUCCUAUUUAGAUGUUUUUACUCCCUUAUUAGGAUGCUAGAUAUACAGUUAAGGUGACUCUAUUUAAAAGUCUUCUGUCUGGAUGAUUUUCCUCUCAAAAGAGACUUGUGCUGACAGGCUGAAAGUUGCUCUUACAAUAAGUGAUGUAGGGACAUAGGAGCUGAAGUCCUAUGGUCAGGGUGAAGUGCUGGUAACCUCUCCCCUGUAGCCUCCAAAGAAAAAGGAGAACUUUCUGCAACUGGAAGAAAAAAGAUGAAGUCUGAAGAAAAGAUUCACUGUGGAAGGAGCGGUCGGCUUGCCAUGGACUGUGAUGCUUUCUUGCUCCACGUUAUUGAUAGCCAGUUUAAUUUAUUGUUACCUUUAAAUUGUUGUUCUGUAUGUGAGCGUUCUGUGCAUUCAGUAUUUCUGUAAAGCCUUUGUGUAGAACCCGGGUUCUUCCUUUUGUAAUGUAUUUUAAAUGUAUGGAGAAUUUUUGUUGUAGCUGCUACACUUCUGAUCAAACCUAUGAUGUUGAAGAGCAAUUCUGACAAGAUGCAAAACAAGGGAGCCUUCUUCCUUAAAUCCAUGUGGUAAAUCCACGGGGGCUGCUCCAAGGACAGCAAUAUCUGACAUUUUGUUUGACAGAGAAUCCCACAAGUGGAUGAUGCGUUGUGUGAAAAAGUGUUUGUUUGUUGGUUCUAGAGGUGGUUCCUAUCCAAUUGCCUGGGAUGACCUCUGGUUCUAGUGUGAUGUGAGAGGGAGAAGAAUUUCUCUCCAUCCUCUUUCUCCACCCUAUGCCUGAUUUUAUAGACCUCUAUCAUGUC